CCUACGGGAGGCAGCAGUGGGGGAUAUUGGACAAUGGGGGGAACCCUGAUCCAGCGACGCCGCGUGAGUGAAGAAGUAUUUCGGUAUGUAAAGCUCUGUCAGCAGGGAAGAAAGAAAUGACGGUACCUGACCAAGAAGCCCCGGCUAACUACGUGCCAGCAGCCGCGGUAAUACGUAGGGGGCAAGAGUUAUCCGGAAUUACUGGGUGUAAAGGGAGAGUAGACGGUUAAGUAAGUCUGGAGUGAAAGGCCGGGGCCGAACCCCGGGACUGCUCUGGAAACUAGUGAACUUGAGUGCGGGAGAGGUAAGCGGAAUGCCUGGUGUAGCGGUGAAAUGCGUAGAUAUUAGGAGGAACUCCAGUGGCGAAGGCGGCUUACUGGACUGUAACUGACGUUGAGGCUCGAAAGCGUGGGGAGCAAACAGGAUUAGAUACCCGGGUAGUC
This 443-nucleotide ribosomal RNA is filed under the name uncultured bacterium. RNAcentral describes it as "partial 16S ribosomal RNA". It matches the Rfam family "Bacterial small subunit ribosomal RNA", at positions 338 to 795 of the family's 1533-position model. The record is from RNAcentral.